This is a non-coding RNA of Lupinus albus (white lupine), 332 nucleotides long. NCBI's taxonomy places the organism in Eukaryota, Viridiplantae, Streptophyta, Magnoliopsida, Fabales, Fabaceae. The record is from the annotation of a GenBank genome assembly.
GACUCUUGACAUUCUUCACUUCCAGUUCUUUCUCGGUAAAAACUUCAUCCGCACCCAAAUUCUUAAGUCUUUCUUUUACUUCAUCAACCUCAGCCCUGCCACACCUGUCUCUUAUAAUGUUUAUGUUACGAAUGCCACGAGAUUUUGCAAUCUGAAUGACACACUGCCCAACCAUGCUUGUGGCCCCAUUUUGCACAAUAGUAUCUCCUUUGUAGCAAAAGGCUGUGCCUGAGUUCAAAGUAAUGCAGUCCUCAAGCAUAAGGAGAGCAGUCAAUGGAUUAACUGUAAUUGUAGCAGCAUAUUCCAUAGGUACACCCUUGUCUACUUUGUGC